ACUCUCUCUCUCCUCACCUCAAUCUCAGGUCUCCGACAUAGUUACUGUACACGGCUCAUCGGCUUCGAUGAACUGUGGGGGCUGAGUUUGGGGGUGAAGGGAACUCAACUAAGAAAGCGAGGGAGGGAGGUUGUGAGGCAGCAACCGGUUUAAAAAAGAAAAAAACUUUUUCACGUACAUUGUGUAGCGGAUGAUGCGAAACAGUAGUUAUGAGAAGCUUUUUUUUCUUCCAGAAAAAAAAAUUUCUCUUACCGUCCAUGUAAGGCCUGUGCAAUGACCCGCCCAAGCAAUAUAUUGGCCCGACUCGAGGUUACCCGUGACUUAGCUGCACCAGAAACAAUCCGAUCCAACUCAGACUAGUUCGGGUCGGGUAAAGCUAUUGGUUUUUUAAAAAACCCUCACACCCAUCUCCGCACCGACACCACCCUCAAAGCACACCAAACGCAGAGCCUCAAAAUGUCUCAGAGUCUACUCCACUCCUGGGUUCCCUUCGUUUCUCCCCAAAGAUGCCGAUAACUUCAAGUGGGCUUCUCGAAUAAUUGUAUAAUGAGUAAUUGCGUGAGGCCAUUGAUACGGAGCAAGACAAAUCCAAUGGUUCUUCUCCAUAGUUUUGACAGAGAAAUUUGGAGCAUGAGAAACGGAAUAUACCUCAUCAAAUCGACUUGAUCUUGGAGUUGCGACCGAACAGUGAUGGUGAACAGCGACGGAGAACGCCACUAGCUAGGGUUUCUGCAGCAGCUGAAGUGUAUGCUUGGAGUACACAGUUGUUUGGAGGCACGAUCGAGGAGAGAGAGAUUCUGUUGCUUGGAGGCGCGAUCGAGGAGAGAGAGGGACUCGAUUUCUGCAGGCGUGAUCGAGGAGGGAGAGAGAGAGAGCGAGAGGUCUACGUUUUUCUGAAGAAGGGAGAUACGGCCUACGGGUUUAUUUACAUGCUUCGGUUUUGCCCGCUUGUAAUACUUGGAUGACCCGCUUCUGAUUUUAAUCCGCUUUUAUCGGGCUGGUAGUGUCGAGCCUUUCGGUUUGAGCGGGCCAGGCUCAUUUUUGUACAGGCCUACUAUUUAUAAAUAAUUUAAAAUAUUUUUAACA
Carya illinoinensis is the source of this 1086-nucleotide long non-coding RNA. RefSeq lists it as uncharacterized. NCBI's taxonomy places the organism in Eukaryota, Viridiplantae, Streptophyta, Magnoliopsida, Fagales, Juglandaceae. The transcript has 2 exons. The record is from RefSeq and is a predicted model, not a curated record.